AUUUAAGUAAUUUAAAAUUUAAAAUAUUGAUAUGUGAAAUCAAAAAUAUAAUUUAUAAUUAUCUUAAAUA
RNAcentral lists this transfer RNA (70 nucleotides) under Megalyra sp. MM-2014. Its description in RNAcentral is "tRNA-His". The record is from RNAcentral. Lineage: Eukaryota; Metazoa; Arthropoda; Insecta; Hymenoptera; Megalyridae.